Molecule: ribosomal RNA, 673 nt
Filed under: Salmonella enterica subsp. enterica serovar Infantis
Lineage: Bacteria; Pseudomonadati; Pseudomonadota; Gammaproteobacteria; Enterobacterales; Enterobacteriaceae
Also listed under: 55 other names
Description: partial 23S ribosomal RNA
Rfam family: Bacterial large subunit ribosomal RNA
Source: RNAcentral
GUGGGUAGUUUGACUGGGGCGGUCUCCUCCUAAAGAGUAACGGAGGAGCACGAAGGUUGGCUAAUCCUGGUCGGACAUCAGGAGGUUAGUGCAAUGGCAUAAGCCAGCUUGACUGCGAGCGUGACGGCGCGAGCAGGUGCGAAAGCAGGUCAUAGUGAUCCGGUGGUUCUGAAUGGAAGGGCCAUCGCUCAACGGAUAAAAGGUACUCCGGGGAUAACAGGCUGAUACCGCCCAAGAGUUCAUAUCGACGGCGGUGUUUGGCACCUCGAUGUCGGCUCAUCACAUCCUGGGGCUGAAGUAGGUCCCAAGGGUAUGGCUGUUCGCCAUUUAAAGUGGUACGCGAGCUGGGUUUAGAACGUCGUGAGACAGUUCGGUCCCUAUCUGCCGUGGGCGCUGGAGAACUGAGGGGGGCUGCUCCUAGUACGAGAGGACCGGAGUGGACGCAUCACUGGUGUUCGGGUUGUCAUGCCAAUGGCACUGCCCGGUAGCUAAAUGCGGAAGAGAUAAGUGCUGAAAGCAUCUAAGCACGAAACUUGCCCCGAGAUGAGUUCUCCCUGAGACUUAGAGUCUCCUGAAGGAACGUUGAAGACGACGACGUUGAUAGGCCGGGUGUGUAAGCGCAGCGAUGCGUUGAGCUAACCGGUACUAAUGAACCGUGAGGCUUAACCUUACA